Molecule: unclassified non-coding RNA, 182 nt
Filed under: fungal sp.
Lineage: Eukaryota; Fungi
Description: partial internal transcribed spacer region
Rfam family: Eukaryotic small subunit ribosomal RNA (bases 1-46)
Source: RNAcentral
AAGUCGUAACAAGGUUUCCGUAGGUGAACCUGCGGAAGGAUCAUUAUCAAUGAAUCACUUCAUUACACCGUGCACUGGACUUAUGGCAGAAAUGCCUAAGUAACACACAACCCUAUACAUUAUAGCAGAGUCAAUUAGGAAACUAAUAAUGACAACUUUUAGCAACGGAUCUCUAGGUUCUC